GACGAACGCUGGCGGCGUGCCUAAUACAUGCAAGUCGAACGAAGCUGUUUUAACUGGUGCUUGCACCGACUUAAAUAACUGAGUGGCUAACGGGUGAGUAACACGUGGGUAACCUGCCCCAAAGCGGGGGAUAACAUUUGGAAACAGAUGCUAAUACCGCAUAACCACAGAAACCACAUGGUUUCUGUGUCAAAGAUGGUUUCGGCUAUCACUUCGGGAUGGACCCGCGGCGUAUUAGCUAGUUGGUAAGGUAAUGGCUUACCAAGGCAAUGAUACGUAGCCGAACUGAGAGGUUGAUCGGCCACAUUGGGACUGAGACACGGCCCAAACUCCUACGGGAGGCAGCAGUAGGGAAUCUUCCACAAUGGACGAAAGUCUGAUGGAGCAACGCCGCGUGAGUGAAGAAGGUUUUCGGAUCGUAAAACUCUGUUGUCAGAGAAGAACGUGUGCGAGAGUAACUGCUCGUGCAGUGACGGUAUCUGGCCAGAAAGCCACGGCUAACUACGUGCCAGCCGCCGCGGUAA
This 524-nucleotide ribosomal RNA is filed under the name uncultured bacterium. RNAcentral's name for it is "partial 16S ribosomal RNA". It matches the Rfam family "Bacterial small subunit ribosomal RNA", at positions 28 to 523 of the family's 1533-position model. The record is from RNAcentral.